GCAUCUAUACUGUGAAACUGCGAAUGGCUCAUUAAAUCAGUUAUCGUUUAUUUGAUAGUACCUUACUACUUGGAUAACCGUGGUAAUUCUAGAGCUAAUACAUGCUAAAAACCUCGACUUCGGAAGGGGUGUAUUUAUUAGAUAAAAAACCAAUGCCCUUCGGGGCUCCUUGGUGAUUCAUAAUAACUUAACGAAUCGCAUGGCCUUGUGCCGGCGAUGGUUCAUUCAAAUUUCUGCCCUAUCAACUUUCGAUGGUAGGAUAGUGGCCUACCAUGGUUUCAACGGGUAACGGGGAAUUAGGGUUCUAUUCCGGAGAGGGAGCCUGAGAAACGGCUACCACAUCCAAGGAAGGCAGCAGGCGCGCAAAUUACCCAAUCCCGACACGGGGAGGUAGUGACAAUAAAUACUGAUACAGGGCUCUUUUGGGUCUUGUAAUUGGAAUGAGUACAAUUUAAAUCCCUUAACGAGGAACAAUUGGAGGGCAAGUCUGGUGCCAGCAGCCGCGGUAAUUCCAGCUCCAAUAGCGUAUAUUAAAGUUGUUGCAGUUAAAAAGCUCGUAGUUGAACCUUGGGCCUGGCUGGCCGGUCCGCCUCACCGCGUGCACUGGUCCGGCCGGGCCUUUCCUUCUGGGGAGCCGCAUGCCCUUCACUGGGUGUGUCGGGGAACCAGGACUUUUACUUUGAAAAAAUUAGAGUGUUCAAAGCAGGCCUAUGCUCGAAUACAUUAGCAUGGAAUAAUAGAAUAGGACGUGUGGUUCUAUUUUGUUGGUUUCUAGGACCGCCGUAAUGAUUAAUAGGGAUAGUCGGGGGCAUCAGUAUUCAAUUGUCAGAGGUGAAAUUCUUGGAUUUAUUGAAGACUAACUACUGCGAAAGCAUUUGCCAAGGAUGUUUUCAUUAAUCAGUGAACGAAAGUUAGGGGAUCGAAGACGAUCAGAUACCGUCGUAGUCUUAACCAUAAACUAUGCCGACUAGGGAUCGGGCGAUGUUAUCUUUUUGACUCGCUCGGCACCUUACGAGAAAUCAAAGUCUUG
This 1030-nucleotide ribosomal RNA is filed under the name Phacidium subcorticalis. Its description in RNAcentral is "SSU rRNA". It matches the Rfam family "Eukaryotic small subunit ribosomal RNA", at positions 69 to 1108 of the family's 1831-position model. The record is from RNAcentral. Lineage: Eukaryota; Fungi; Ascomycota; Leotiomycetes; Phacidiales; Phacidiaceae.